CAGUGGUCAUCACCAGGGAUGGCAUAUGACACUGCUAAGGCAGCAACAGAACUACCUUUGCACCCAGAGACACGAAACGCUUCGGAGCACUGCUCCCGCUGCCCUGGGUUCAGCACGCCGGCACACACGGCCGCCACUGGAGGGCAUGACGCCGACGGGCACGGCCGCCCACAGGAUCGCACCAGCCGAGCAGGGCUGACCUCGCGGAGCUGCCCAGCGGGGUACCGCGCCGCUCCUGCGCGUCCGCCGUCCUUCCUCCGUCCGCCGUUUUCCAGCAGCAAGCAGCGCUGUUCGCGAGCCGCGCCGCCAUGACACACCGCGCCACGCGCCCGCCCUGCAGCGCCGCCAUUUCCUGAGGGCUCCACGGCGCUUCCGGGCGCGAAAUGAGCGUGGCGUCAUUGCCCGGCCCGGGGCGCAUGCGUGAUGGCGGGCGGGGCCGGGCCGGGCCGGGCGCUGAUGACGUUCGGGCGGAGGGGUGCUGUAGAUAUCGGCGUACGCUGAAGUUUCCCCUGUGAUGCUGACUGGAAAUGAAAGGAAACCGCCUUUUUUCAGCCCGGCUUCUAGAAACGCUACGGCAAAAGCAACACAAAUGCCACCUUAUGGAUACACACUGAGCCAGACCAAACUGUGUUGCUGAUGUUCACUUAACAAACGUUGUUGGGGAUGUGCUGUGCUGUGGUUCAGAGAGUCCAUUUAUUUCAAACAGCUUAGUUUAAAACAAGGCUUUUUGUGUUCUUUCUUUUUUGGUUCCUGAUGUGACGGAGAGGAGAAAACUUGUCUUUCUGACCUGGUCUUGUCAGCGUUUUGUCACGGCAGGGCAGCACAUUUGCACAAAGUCUGCCAGAGUGGAUUUUCGGGGCUGCUCAGCCAGCGUUAGGGCUUGGCUGCAGGGCAAGAGGAGUUUCACAUUGCUGUGAUGAUGUCCUGAAAACCAUCUAUUCGUGCGAUUGGAUGCCCUCUUCACAACCACCCCCAAAAGCUGUGUCUGAUGUGACAGGUGCCGUUCCCUGCCCAGGCCCUGGCUCUGUACAGGCUGGGCACCUCGCCUGUCUCUUAGCACUUACACUGAUGCUGUAUCACUGUGGCCUUACUUACGGGAAGCUGUGUCUGAAAUAGUUGGCACCACCCACUGCUGGGAACGGGACUCUGGGUGCGUGGUGGUGGCACUGUGCUCACCCUGAGCCUCACGGAAUUCAGAGCAAAUGCUGAGGGAUGGGUUUCUGCCUUCCCAGGAGCUCUGACCUGCAGCUCAGUAAAGCAUCAGUGGCAAACCAUUAUGAAAUCAUCUGCUCUUCAAUUUCCUCCUCUUUUCUGAAAAAUAGGUACAGUUCAAGCUCAGGCCCUCACAGCAGCCUGGCAGCUCCCAGCUCUAGGCCAGGAAAAAGGAAAAAAAAAAUCUAUUUUAUUGCGUUCCUGGUGGAAAAGCAAUACUCCUUGCAUGUUCUACACUGCAGACACCAAGGGAAUCUUGUCAAGCUUAUUCCAUUUCAUCUUCAGGCUGAAGACCAAGCAGUGACACCCCCACCCCUCCUCUGAAGAGCUGCAAGAUCACCAGAAUAACGUUCUGCUUGGUUACGAGCUGUGCUGCACACUGAACUUGGUGCUCAGCAUCCUCAGGGCAAGCUCAGAGCUAAUGGAAUGAGAGAGAGGGAAGGACUGACAUCAGAGACUACUUUGCAAUAUUAAAGACAGACAGGACCAACUUCUCAUUUGAAUGAUUGCACACUGGCUCAUUUCCUCCUUCCACCCGAAGCCCAGGCAAUUGUCUUCCUCACUUCUUUCUAAGACUGAACAUUGCUGUGCUAUUCCUCAACCUCAAGGGAAGUGUAUGUGAUUAAAGGAUGAAGUAACUUCUGUUAAUUACCACGGUCUGAACUAAGAUUAGUUUUAGCUCCAGCAAUGACUCUUGCCACUCGAGGGGGGGAGCAAGCAACCCAAGAAAGGAGUGAUUCAGACUAUAACAAGUGUCCAUGGCCGCUUGCAUUUGCUAGCAGAACCCCACAGGCAGAGGUGCCUGUGAGCACUCCUGAACUUCAGUUUGC
This 2042-nucleotide long non-coding RNA is filed under the name Gallus gallus (chicken). Lineage: Eukaryota; Metazoa; Chordata; Aves; Galliformes; Phasianidae. The record is from RNAcentral.